UGGGGAAUAUUGCACAAUGGGCGCAAGCCUGAUGCAGCCAUGCCGCGUGUAUGAAGAAGGCCUUCGGGUUGUAAAGUACUUUCAGCGGGGAGGAAGGCGAUAAGGUUAAUAACCUUGUCGAUCGACGUUACCCGCAGAAGAAGCACCGGCUAACUCCGUGCCAGCAGCCGCGGUAAUACGGAGGGUGCAAGCGUUAAUCGGAAUUACUGGGCGUAAAGCGCACGCAGGCGGUCUGUCAAGUCGGAUGUGAAAUCCCCGGGCUCAACCUGGGAACUGCAUUCGAAACUGGCAGGCUAGAGUCUUGUAGAGGGGGGUAGAAUUCCAGGUGUAGCGGUGAAAUGCGUAGAGAUCUGGAGGAAUACCGGUGGCGAAGGCGGCCCCCUGGACAAAGACUGACGCUCAGGUGCGAAAGCGUGGGGAGCAAACA
RNAcentral lists this ribosomal RNA (427 nucleotides) under uncultured bacterium. Its description in RNAcentral is "partial 16S ribosomal RNA". It matches the Rfam family "Bacterial small subunit ribosomal RNA", at positions 355 to 774 of the family's 1533-position model. The record is from RNAcentral.